This 421-nucleotide ribosomal RNA is filed under the name uncultured bacterium. RNAcentral describes it as "bacterial SSU rRNA". It matches the Rfam family "Bacterial small subunit ribosomal RNA", at positions 355 to 774 of the family's 1533-position model. The record is from RNAcentral.
UAAGGAAUAUUGGUCAAUGGACGCAAGCCUGAACCAGCCAUGCCGCGUGAAGGAUGAAGGUCCUCUGGAUUGUAAACUUCUUUUAUCUGGGACGAAAACGGGAUUUUUAUCUCAAUUGACGGUACCAGAGGAAUAAGCACCGGCUAACUCCGUGCCAGCAGCCGCGGUAAUACGGAGGGUGCAAGCGUUAUCCGGAUUUACUGGGUUUAAAGGGUGCGUAGGUGGGCUUAUAAGUCAGUGGUGAAAUCUCCGAGCUUAACUUGGAAACUGCCGUUGAUACUAUAGGUCUUGAAUUAUCUGGAGGUUCGCGGAAUAUGUCAUGUGGCGGUGAAAUGCUUAGAUAUGACAUAGAACACCAAUUGCGAAGGCAGCUUACUACAUAUAAAUUGACGCUGAGGCACGAAAGCGUGGGGAUCAAACA